GACUGUGGACUUAAGUGGUAGAACAUCUACUUAGUGAGUAUAAGGCCCUAAGUUCAACCCUUAGUACUGUCA
Molecule: transfer RNA, 72 nt
Filed under: Dipodomys ordii (Ord's kangaroo rat)
Lineage: Eukaryota; Metazoa; Chordata; Mammalia; Rodentia; Heteromyidae
Rfam family: tRNA
About the family: Transfer RNA (tRNA) molecules are approximately 80 nucleotides in length. Their secondary structure includes four short double-helical elements and three loops (D, anti-codon, and T loops). Further hydrogen bonds mediate the characteristic L-shaped molecular structure. tRNAs have two regions of fundamental functional importance: the anti-codon, which is responsible for specific mRNA codon recognition, and the 3' end, to which the tRNAs corresponding amino acid is attached (by aminoacyl-tRNA synthetases). tRNAs cope with the degeneracy of the genetic code in two manners: having more than one tRNA (with a specific anti-codon) for a particular amino acid; and 'wobble' base-pairing, i.e. permitting non-standard base-pairing at the 3rd anti-codon position.
Source: Rfam by way of RNAcentral